Molecule: unclassified non-coding RNA, 201 nt
Filed under: uncultured fungus
Lineage: Eukaryota; Fungi
Description: sequence contains ITS1, 5.8S rRNA gene
Rfam family: 5.8S ribosomal RNA (bases 153-201)
Source: RNAcentral
UCUCCGUAGGUGAACCUGCGGAGGGAUCAUUACUGAGUGAGGGCUUCGGUCCGACCUCCAACCCUUUGUGAACACAUCUUGUUGCUUCGGGGGCGCCCCCGGAGGCCAUUAAACACUGCAUCAUUGCGUCGGAGUUAAAGUAAAUUAAACAAAACUUUCAACAACGGAUCUCUUGGUUCCAGCAUCGAUGAAGAACGCAGC